UACCUUUUACUGGAGAAUAGCCUUUAGAAAUGAAGAUUAAUGCUCCAUGGUAUUGAGUUUUGGCAUCAAGACUUAAUUAAAGAUUUAUUGGUAAAAGAUGGCUAUGCGUCCUAUUAGUUAGAUGGUAAGGUAACGGCUUACCAUGACUUUGAUAGGUAGGGGUCCUGAGAGGGAGAUCCCCCACACUGGUACUGAGACACGGACCAGACUCCUACGGGAGGCAGCAGUGAGGAAUAUUGGGCAAUGGAGGCAACUCUGACCCAGCCAUGCCGCGUGAAGGAUGACUGCCCUAUGGGUUGUAAACUUCUUUUAUACAGGAAGAAACACUGGUAUGUAUACCAGCUUGACGGUACUGUAAGAAUAAGGACCGGCUAACUCCGUGCCAGCAGCCGCGGUAAUACGGAGGGUCCGAGCGUUAUCCGGAAUCAUUGGGUUUAAAGGGUCCGCAGGCGGUCGAUUAAGUCAGAGGUGAAAUCCCAUAGCUCAACUAUGGAACUGCCUUUGAUACUGGUUGACUUGAGUCAUAUGGAAGUAGAUAGAAUGUGUAGUGUAGCGGUGAAAUGCAUAGAUAUUACACAGAAUACCGAUUGCGAAGGCAGUCUACUACGUAUGUACUGACGCUGAGGGACGAAAGCGUGGGGAGCGAACAGGAUUAGAUACCCUGGUAGUCCACGCCGUAAACGAUGGAUACUAGUUGUUGGGCAUUAGCUCAGUGACUAAGCGAAAGUGAUAAGUAUCCCACCUGGGGAGUACGGUCGCAAGACUGAAACUCAAAGGAAUUGACGGGGGCCCGCACAAGCGGUGGAGCAUGUGGUUUAAUUCGAUGAUACGCGAGGAACCUUACCAGGGCUUAAAUGUAGUCUGACAGCUUUAGAGAUAGAGUUUUCUUCGGACAGAUUACAAGGUGCUGCAUGGUUGUCGUCAGCUCGUGCCGUGAGGUGUCAGGUUAAGUCCUAUAACGAGCGCAACCCCUGUCGUUAGUUGCCAUCAAGUAAAGUUGGGGACUCUAAUGAGACUGCCUACGCAAGUAGUGAGGAAGGUGGGGAUGACGUCAAAUCAUCACGGCCCUUACGUCCUGGGCCACACACGUGCUACAAUGGUAUGGACAAUGAGCAGCCAUCUGGCAACAGAGAGCGAAUCUAUAAACCAUAUCACAGUUCGGAUCGGAGUCUGCAACUCGACUCCGUGAAGCUGGAAUCGCUA
RNAcentral lists this ribosomal RNA (1203 nucleotides) under Polaribacter sp. UI13. RNAcentral describes it as "bacterial SSU rRNA". It matches the Rfam family "Bacterial small subunit ribosomal RNA", at positions 127 to 1337 of the family's 1533-position model. The record is from RNAcentral. Lineage: Bacteria; Pseudomonadati; Bacteroidota; Flavobacteriia; Flavobacteriales; Flavobacteriaceae.